GAUGAACGCUGGCGGCGUGCCUAAUACAUGCAAGUCGAGCGAACAGACGAGGAGCUUGCUCCUCUGACGUUAGCGGCGGACGGGUGAGUAACACGUGGAUAACCUACCUAUAAGACUGGGAUAACUUCGGGAAACCGGAGCUAAUACCGGAUAAUAUAUUGAACCGCAUGGUUCAAUAGUGAAAGACGGUUUUGCUGUCACUUAUAGAUGGAUCCGCGCCGCAUUAGCUAGUUGGUAAGGUAACGGCUUACCAAGGCGACGAUGCGUAGCCGACCUGAGAGGGUGAUCGGCCACACUGGAACUGAGACACGGUCCAGACUCCUACGGGAGGCAGCAGUAGGGAAUAUUCCGCAAUGGGCGAAAGCCUGACGGAGCAACGCCGCGUGAGUGAUGAGGGUCUUCGGAUCGUAAAACUCUGUUAUUAGGGAAGAACAAAUGUGUAAGUAACUAUGCACGUCUUGACGGUACCUAAUCAGAAAGCCACGGCUAACUACGUG
This 497-nucleotide ribosomal RNA is filed under the name uncultured bacterium. RNAcentral describes it as "partial 16S ribosomal RNA". It matches the Rfam family "Bacterial small subunit ribosomal RNA", at positions 28 to 507 of the family's 1533-position model. The record is from RNAcentral.